Molecule: ribosomal RNA, 460 nt
Filed under: uncultured bacterium
Lineage: Bacteria
Description: partial 16S ribosomal RNA
Rfam family: Bacterial small subunit ribosomal RNA
Source: RNAcentral
CCUACGGGUGGCAGCAGUGAGGAAUUUUGGUCAAUGGGCGCGAGCCUGAACCAGCCAAGUAGCGUGAAGGAUGAAUGCCCUACGGGUUGUAAGCUUCUUUUAUAAAGGAAUAAAUUGAGGCACGUGAGCCUUUUUGUAUUGACUUUAUGAAUAAGGACAGGCUAACUCCGUGCCAUCCGCCGCGGUAAUACGGAGGAUGCGAGCGUUAUCCGGAUUGGCUGGGUUUAAAGGGAACGUCGAUGGUUUGUUAAGUCAGUUGUGAAAGUUUGCGGUUCAACCGUAAAAUGGCAAUUGAUACUGGCAGCCUUGAGUACAGUAGAGGUAGGCAGAAUUCGUGGUGUAGCGGUGAAAUGCGUAGAUAUCACGAAGAACUCCGAUUGCGAAGGCAGCUUACUAAACUGCCACUGACAUUGAUGCUCGAAAGUGUGGGUAGCAAACAGGAUUAGAUACCCUUGUAGUC